UAGUAAAAUAGCACAUUACACUGCCUUGUCAGAGCAGAAUUGUAGGUUAAAGCCCUGCGAGUCCCG
RNAcentral lists this transfer RNA (66 nucleotides) under Herwigia kreffti (Krefft's smooth-head). RNAcentral's name for it is "tRNA-Asp". Lineage: Eukaryota; Metazoa; Chordata; Actinopteri; Alepocephaliformes; Alepocephalidae. The record is from RNAcentral.